RNAcentral lists this ribosomal RNA (208 nucleotides) under uncultured Planctomycetaceae bacterium. Its description in RNAcentral is "partial 16S ribosomal RNA". It matches the Rfam family "Bacterial small subunit ribosomal RNA", at positions 568 to 775 of the family's 1533-position model. The record is from RNAcentral. Lineage: Bacteria; Pseudomonadati; Planctomycetota; Planctomycetia; Planctomycetales; Planctomycetaceae.
UGCGUAGGCGGUCCGGUAAGUUGGGUGUGAAAUACCUCGGCUCAACCGAGGGAUUGCGCUCAAUACUGUCGGACUCGAGGGAGACAGAGGUGAGCGGAACUUAGGGUGGAGCGGUGAAAUGCGUUGAUAUCCUAAGGAACACCGGUAGCGAAAGCGGCUCACUGGGUCUUUUCUGACGCUGAUGCACGAAAGCUAGGGGAGCGAACGG